AGACGAGGCGGCCCGUGUUUGACCCAAAAAGACCCCGCACCGUCAUCGAGUUUCUCUCAAAACUCGAAAAACUAAAGCCAACGUGAACUUUUGCGGACCCCGUGGUCCGCU
RNAcentral lists this non-coding RNA (111 nucleotides) under Enterobacter hormaechei ATCC 49162. Lineage: Bacteria; Pseudomonadati; Pseudomonadota; Gammaproteobacteria; Enterobacterales; Enterobacteriaceae. The record is from RNAcentral.